UUUAAUUGAAGAGUUUGAUCAUGGCUCAGAUUGAACGCUGGCGGCAGGCCUAACACAUGCAAGUCGAACGGUAACAGGGAGCAGCUUGCUGCUCUGCUGACGAGUGGCGG
This 110-nucleotide ribosomal RNA is filed under the name Cronobacter sakazakii. RNAcentral's name for it is "partial 16S ribosomal RNA". It matches the Rfam family "Bacterial small subunit ribosomal RNA", at positions 1 to 101 of the family's 1533-position model. The record is from RNAcentral. Lineage: Bacteria; Pseudomonadati; Pseudomonadota; Gammaproteobacteria; Enterobacterales; Enterobacteriaceae.